This 440-nucleotide ribosomal RNA is filed under the name uncultured bacterium. Its description in RNAcentral is "partial 16S ribosomal RNA". It matches the Rfam family "Bacterial small subunit ribosomal RNA", at positions 338 to 795 of the family's 1533-position model. The record is from RNAcentral.
CCUACGGGGGACAGCAGUGGGGGAUAUUGCACAAUGGGGGAAACCCUGAUGCAGCAACGCCGCGUGGGGGAAGGAGCGUUUCGGCGCGUAAAGUCCUAUCGGCAGGGAAGAAAAUGACGGUAUCUGACGAAUAAGCACCGGCUAACUACGUGCCAGCAGCCGCGGUAAUACGGAGGGUGCAAGCGUUAUUCGGAUUCACUGGGUGUAAAGAGCGCGCAGACGGGAUUGCAAGUCAGAAGUGAAAUCCCAGGGCUCAACCAUGGGACUGCACUUGGAACUGCAUGGCUGGAGUACAGGAGAGGCAGGCGGAAUUCUUGGUGUAGCGGUAAAAUCCGUAGAGAUCAGGAGGAAUACCGAUGGCGAAGGCGACCUGCUAGACUGUGACUGACGUUGAGGCGCGAAGGCGUGGGGAGCAAACAGGAUUAGAUACCCUAGUAGUC